Molecule: non-coding RNA, 120 nt
Organism: Hordeum vulgare subsp. vulgare (domesticated barley)
Lineage: Eukaryota; Viridiplantae; Streptophyta; Magnoliopsida; Poales; Poaceae
Source: Rfam
UACAUACUCCCUCCGUCCGGAAAUACUUGUCCUAAAAAUGUAUAAAAAGGAUGUAUCUAUAACUAAAAUAAGUCUAGAUACAUCUAUUUCUAGGACAAGUAUUUCCGGAGGGAGUAUUAU